UACGUAGGGGGCAAGCGUUGUCCGGAUUUAUUGGGCGUAAAGAGCUCGUAGGCGGUUCGGCAAGUCAUGUGUGAAAUCUCCACGCUCAACGUGGAGGGGCCACCUGAUACUGCCGUGACUCGAGUCCGGUAGGGGAGUGUGGAAUUCCCGGUGUAGCGGUGAAAUGCGCAGAUAUCAGGAGGAACACCGAUGGCGAAGGCAGGUCUCUGGCCAUUACUGACACUGAGAAGCGAAAGCAUGGGGAGCGAACAGG
RNAcentral lists this ribosomal RNA (253 nucleotides) under uncultured bacterium. RNAcentral describes it as "partial 16S ribosomal RNA". It matches the Rfam family "Bacterial small subunit ribosomal RNA", at positions 524 to 776 of the family's 1533-position model. The record is from RNAcentral.